GAUUGCUAACUGAAGUUCUUCCUGCAAGGUUACGAACAAAACUAAAUUAGUUAAACAGAUCACGGGACAAACCAAGAAUCCUUACAAGUACGCAACAAAAACCACCGUUGCAUACAAAAUCAAUUAAGAUAGUCUUGUUUUUGAAUUUUUUUGGAUCAUUAGCCGAAUCCAGAUCAAAAUCGCCAUUAAUUCCCAGAUCAACACCAGAAAAACAAAUUAAAA
Molecule: unclassified non-coding RNA, 222 nt
Filed under: Hevea brasiliensis (rubber tree)
Lineage: Eukaryota; Viridiplantae; Streptophyta; Magnoliopsida; Malpighiales; Euphorbiaceae
Source: RNAcentral